GGAUCGUUUGGCGCGCGGGGUUAAAGUUGACUGUUUUGUUUCGGGGGCGGGGGUAGUAGAAGCCCAGAGCCGGAUCGACCAGGAACCAGGAGUAAGAUCAAGAACGAGAGUCAGAGCAAAACUGGAUUUUAAUCCGCCGUGGAGAGCCGCUGUCAAUCCGAAUGUGUGGAGAAGGAAGAUCUCUCACAAACACUUCACUCCCCCAAGUGACAGAUAACCGAGACUGAAAGGACCGGGGGAAUUAACGGCGAGCGAUGGCCCAGGACGGUGCGGCAGGCUGGAAGCUGAGGCCGACUGCCUGAAAACCACAUAUACUACCCGUUCUGGUGAACUUGAUCGGGCUGCUGGAUCCAAUUCACUGAGCUCCGUCAACCGGCCACUCAGUGUCUUCUUAGUAUGAAGCCUCAUAUGUACCUGUGUUCACGGUCACCGCUGCAGACAUUAAAUCAGCCUUCUUGAGAGUGAACCCACGGAAAGCGACCGGCCAGGAUGGAAUUCCCAGCCAUGCACUCAGAUACUGUGCAGAUCGGCUGGCAGGAGUAUUUGCUGACAUCUUUAACCUCUCCUUACUACAAUCUGAAGUCCCCACAUGUUUCAUGAAAACCACCAUCAUCCCGACGCCAAGAAAAAUGAUGCAGUGUGUCUCAAUGGCUACCACCUGGUGGCUCUGACCUCCAUAAUUAUGAAGUUCUACGAAAGGUUAGUUAUGGCUCACAUCAACUACAGAUUGCCUUGAUCCUUUGCAAUUUACCUACUGUAGCAACAGGUCCAUGGCAGAUGCCAUCUGUCUUAUCCUAGACUCAUCCCUGGAACAUCUAGAUAACAAGGAUACCUAUGUCAGGCUCCAACUUAUUGACUACAGCUCCGCUUUCAACACCAUAAUUCCAAACAAACUCAUCUCUAAACUUCAGGACCUAGGUCUCGACUUCCACCCAAGAAUUGGUGACAACACCUCCUCUACCGAAAGGCUGCGUACUCAGCCCAUACGAUACUCCUUAUACACUCAUGACUGUGCAGUCAAAUUCUGCCCCAACUCCAUUUGCAAGUUUGCUGACAUCACUGUAGGUCAGAUCUCAAACAACAGACUUCAGGAAAAAUAUUGAGUACUUAGCAGCAUGGUAUAAAGACGACAAUUUCCCCAUCAACAUUAGCAAAACAAAGGAGCUGGUCAUUAACUUCAGGAAGUGAAGUCAAGGGCACACCCCUGUCUGCAUCACUGGUGCUGAGAUGGAGAUGAUCGAGAGUGUCAAGUUCUUUGGAGUGACGAUCACCAACAAUCUGUCCUGGUCCACUCACGUCAAUGCGAUGGUCAAGGAAGUACAACAACCUCUCUCCUUCCUCAGGAGGCUAAGGAAAUUCGGCAUUUCCACAAAGACUUUUACCAAUUAUUAUAGAUGCACCAUAGAAGGCAUUCUCUGUGGAUGCAUCACAGCGUGGUAGCAACUGCUAUUCCCAAGACUGCAAGGAACACAACCCAGUCAAUCACACAAACCAGCUUUCCAUCCAUUGAGUCCAUCUGUGCUUCCUGCUACCUCGGGAAAGCAACCAACAUAAUCAAAGACCUGUCUCACCCAGUUAUACUCUCUUCCACCCUCAUCCAUCGGGCAGAACAUACAAAAGUUUGGAUACGUGAACGAACAGAUUCAAAAACAGCAUCUUCCCUGCUGUUAUCAGAUUUUUGAACAGACUUCUCAAAUGUUAAUUCUGAUCUCUCUCUCUGCACGUCUGUAUGGCUGUAGCACUAUACUACACUCUGUUCUGCUAUCCUGAUGCACUUUAAAUGUACAAUCUGCCUGUAUAGAAUGCAAAACAACACUUUUCCGUAUAUCUUGGUACAUGUGACAACAAUAAAUCAGACUCAAACUCAAAAUAAAGAUAGAACAAAAUAUUCCUAUAUAAAUUAAAGUCUAUAUCAUUUUA
This is a long non-coding RNA of Rhincodon typus (whale shark), 1920 nucleotides long. RefSeq lists it as uncharacterized. NCBI's taxonomy places the organism in Eukaryota, Metazoa, Chordata, Chondrichthyes, Orectolobiformes, Rhincodontidae. The record is from RefSeq and is a predicted model, not a curated record. The transcript has 3 exons.